GUUUUUGGCCAUACCACCCUGAACGUGCCCGAUCUCAUCUGAUCUCGGAAACUAAGCAGGGUCGGGCCUGGUUAGUACUUGGAUGGGAGAAAUCUAGUUAGCCUAGGAUA
Molecule: ribosomal RNA, 110 nt
Organism: Dipodomys ordii (Ord's kangaroo rat)
Lineage: Eukaryota; Metazoa; Chordata; Mammalia; Rodentia; Heteromyidae
Source: Ensembl